Molecule: ribosomal RNA, 353 nt
Filed under: uncultured bacterium
Lineage: Bacteria
Description: partial 16S ribosomal RNA
Rfam family: Bacterial small subunit ribosomal RNA
Source: RNAcentral
CCUACGGGUGGCAGCAGUGAGGAAUAUUGGUCAAUGGGCGGAAGCCUGAACCAGCCAAGUAGCGUGCAGGAUGACGGCCCUACGGGUUGUAAACUGCUUUUAUACGGGAAUAACGCGCCUUACGUGUAGGGCUUUGCAUGUACCGUAUGAAUAAGGACAGGCUAAUUCCGUGCCAGCAGCCGCGGUAAUACGGAGGGUCCGGGCGUUUUCCGGAUUUAUUGGGUUUAAAGGGGGCGUAGGCCGCAUGUCAAGCGGGCUGUGAAAGGUGCGGGCUCAACCCGGGCCUUGCAGGGGGAACUGGCGGGCUGGAGUCCGCGGAGGGGAGGCGGAAGUCGGGGGGUAGCGGUGAGAUG